This 469-nucleotide ribosomal RNA is filed under the name uncultured bacterium. RNAcentral's name for it is "partial 16S ribosomal RNA". It matches the Rfam family "Bacterial small subunit ribosomal RNA", at positions 28 to 507 of the family's 1533-position model. The record is from RNAcentral.
AACGAACGUUGGCGGCGUGGAUUAGGCAUGCAAGUCGAACGCGAAUCCCUGGGCAACUGGGGAGGAGAGUGGCGAAAGGGGCAGUAAGGCGUGGGUAACCUACCCUCCGGGCCGGGAUAGCUUCGGGAAACUGAAGGUAAUACCGGGCGACGCAGCGAGAUCGCCUGGUCUUGCUGCCAAAGGUCCGCCGCCGGGGGAGGGGCUCACGUGGUAUUAGCUAGACGGCGGGGUAACGGCCCACCGUGGCAAAGAUGCCUAGCAGGUGUGAGAGCACGACCUGCGCCACUGGCACUGAGACACUGGCCAGACACCUACGGGUGGCUGCAAGGGAGGAUCUUCGGCAAUGGGCGCAAGCCUGACCGAGCGACGCCGCGUGUGCGAUGAAGGCCUUCGGGUUGUAAAGCACUGUCGAGGGGGAGGAAGCCGCAAGGUUGACCUAUCCCUGGAGGAAGCACGGGCUAAGUUCGUG